RNAcentral lists this ribosomal RNA (513 nucleotides) under uncultured bacterium. RNAcentral describes it as "bacterial SSU rRNA". It matches the Rfam family "Bacterial small subunit ribosomal RNA", at positions 996 to 1509 of the family's 1533-position model. The record is from RNAcentral.
CUUAGCAGAGAUGCUUUGGUGCCUUCGGGAACUCUGAGACAGAUGCUGCAUGGCUGUCGUCAGCUCGUGUUGUGAAAUGUUGGGUUAAGUCCCGCAACGAGCGCAACCCUUAUCCUUUGUUGCCAGCGGUUAGGCCGGGAACUCAAAGGAGACUGCCAGUGAUAAACUGGAGGAAGGUGGGGAUGACGUCAAGUCAUCAUGGCCCUUACGAGUAGGGCUACACACGUGCUACAAUGGCGCAUACAAAGAGAAGCGACCUCGCGAGAGCAAGCGGACCUCAUAAAGUGCGUCGUAGUCCGGAUUGGAGUCUGCAACUCGACUCCAUGAAGUCGGAAUCGCUAGUAAUCGUGGAUCAGAAUGCCACGGUGAAUACGUUCCCGGGCCUUGUACACACCGCCCGUCACACCAUGGGAGUGGGUUGCAAAAGAAGUAGGUAGCUUAACCUUCGGGAGGGCGCUUACCACUUUGUGAUUCAUGACUGGGGUGAAGUCGUAACAAGGUAGGCGUAGUGCU